GUCAAUAGCCUAACGGCUGAACCAGCAACUUGGAGGAAUGUAUAGCAAUAGCUGAUUGCACCAACAAACAGUUGAUGCAAGAUCGACUAUCUCGAAUAAAAUUCUAGGUAGAAUUAUGAUAAUGACAUUGUCUACCUAUGUGUCUUGACCAAAUUACGUGCCAGCAGUCGCGGUAAUACGUAGAAGACUAGUGUUAUUCAUCUUUAAUAGGUUUAAAGGGUACCUAGACGGCAAAUCAAGCCUUAACAGGGGACUAAUUUGCUAGAGUUACUUAUGAGGGGGUAUUAAAGUACUGCUGGUGUAGAGAUGAAAUUCUGUCAUACCUCUUUUCGAAAGAAAAACAAUGGCACAGGUAUAGGUGAAAGCAUCCCCUUAUGUGAUAACUGACGUUGAAGGACGAAGGCUUUGUGUAGCGAACAGGAUUAGAUACCCCAGUAGUCAAAGCAGAAAAUGAUGAAUGUCAUAGGUUAGAUAUUAUUUAUCCUAUAAAUGAAAGUGUAAGCAUUCCACCUCAAGAGUAAUUUGGCAACAUUGGAACUGAAAUCAUUAGACCGUUUCUGAAACCAGUAGUGAAGUAUGUUGUUUAAUUUGAUAAUCCGCAAAAAACCUUACCACAAUUUGAAUAUUUAUAUCUCUUUUUUUCUUAUUAGAGAAAAAAGUAUAUUUACAAGCGUUGCACGGCUGUCUUCAGUUAAUGUCGUGAGACUUUGGUUAGUUCCAUUAAAUUAACGUAAACCCUUACUUUAUUUUUAUAUAGAGUUGUUCCCCGCUAGAUUGGAUAUGAUAACAGGGACUAAGACAAGUCAUCAUGGCCUAAAUAUUG
RNAcentral lists this ribosomal RNA (823 nucleotides) under Calvitimela talayana. Its description in RNAcentral is "SSU rRNA". It matches the Rfam family "Bacterial small subunit ribosomal RNA", at positions 367 to 1209 of the family's 1533-position model. Lineage: Eukaryota; Fungi; Ascomycota; Lecanoromycetes; Lecanorales; Tephromelataceae. The record is from RNAcentral.